RNAcentral lists this ribosomal RNA (427 nucleotides) under uncultured bacterium. RNAcentral describes it as "bacterial SSU rRNA". It matches the Rfam family "Bacterial small subunit ribosomal RNA", at positions 355 to 774 of the family's 1533-position model. The record is from RNAcentral.
UAGGGAAUAUUGGACAACGGGCGCAAGCCUGAUCCAGCCAUGCCGCGUGAGUGAAGAAGGCCCUCGGGUUGUAAAGCUCUUUUGUCCGGAAAGAAAAGCAUCGGGUUAAUACCCCGGUGUUCUGACGGUACCGGAAGAAUAAGCACCGGCUAACUUCGUGCCAGCAGCCGCGGUAAUACGAAGGGUGCAAGCGUUACUCGGAAUUACUGGGCGUAAAGCGUGCGUAGGUGGUUCGUUAAGUCUGAUGUGAAAGCCCUGGGCUCAACCUGGGAAUGGCAUUGGAAACUGGCGGACUGGAGUGCGGUAGAGGGUAGCGGAAUUCCCGGUGUAGCAGUGAAAUGCGUAGAGAUCGGGAGGAACAUCCGUGGCGAAGGCGGCUACCUGGACCAGCACUGACACUGAGGCACGAAAGCGUGGGGAGCAAACA